This 2502-nucleotide long non-coding RNA is filed under the name Oryza sativa Indica Group (long-grained rice). RNAcentral describes it as "lncRNA OsZS97_06G011290". The record is from RNAcentral. Lineage: Eukaryota; Viridiplantae; Streptophyta; Magnoliopsida; Poales; Poaceae.
AGUCAGGGCAUCCAAUGCUCUCGAUCCCUCUUUCUUCCUCCUCUCGCUGUUGCUUCCGCGGUCGUCGAUGCGACGCAGGCCUGGCGGAGAAUCCCUCUUUCUUCCCCUCCGCUGCAGGCUCCCGUCCUCCCCUUUCGACUGUGGCUUGCAGGCCCGUGCCCCCCCCCCCAAUCGAUUCUCGUCCGCGCGUCGUCUUGCGGCAGCGGUCGGUUCAAGGUGCUCAAAAUCGGGGGGAAGUGGAAGAGCUCCACGCCUGUCGAGCUGUCUGCGUCGUCCUCGAGGGGAGUAAAAGCUGGCCGGCGUGCUCGCUGUGAAGCAGCAAGCAGUCUGGCUGCCUGUGUGCUCGUCCUCUCUGCCUCUCGGGUCAGACAGUGCUGGCCUGAAGAGUCUCAUCAAGGCAUCCAAGCUGGCGGAGUUGAGGAGUCUCUAUUUCAGGCCGAGCGUGUGCGUGGUCCGAUGGAGACGACAGCGAAGAAGCGGAAGCGAGAGCGGGAUCUAUUGUCGAUCCAAGAGGAGGGGACGAUUGUUCAAUCCCCUCAAACAGGGGAGAUCUCUGUCCGCGGCGCCGAUCUGGAGUCCGGCGAGGACUCCUCCGACUCUGUCACCUCCGACGCUGGCAGCGCCAAGGCUGCUCCCGACGACGUGCUUCAUAUCGCGCAUGCCCUCUGCAAAGUUUGCGCCAAGUCUCCUAGAGCCGUCAUCGACUUUGUUCGAAGAGUGAGCCCUGCCACCGUCGGCCGUUCGAUUGAUUGGGACGUCGUCCGCGAGGAAGAGUCAUGUAAGAUGGGCGAUGGCCGUAGCCGGUGGACCGAUAUGGAGGUUCGUGUGUUUCUUGAGAGCUGCUUGGAGGAGAUGGCAGCGUUCACCAUCACCUCCAACUCCCCCAAGCCGCAGGCAUGGCAGAACCUAAUACACAAGAUGUACACCAAGUGCAAGAAGAAGGUGAACAAGGCUCAAUUGGAGUACAUUUGGGGGCAGUGUAAGAAGCGGUACAACAGGUGGGUGUGGCUAGAAUCGCAUGCAAGCGGGCUGGGUCGUGAUCCCCAUACAUCAGCCAUUGUUGCCGAUGAUGAGUGGUGGGAAAGCAAGAAUGCGCAAAAUAAAGGUGUCUUAAGCUUCAGGAAUGAUCCUCUGAAGCACAUUGACCUUCACCACGCGGUAUUCAGUGGGCACACAGUUGUCGGAAACCACUCCGCCGUCGCAGGGGCAGCCCCACAGGCACCGCAAGGAGCAGUUCAGUGGCAGACCAUCGACAUGGCGCAGCUCGCUGCUGCUUAUAGACCACCACCUCCAACUCCACCCCCAACGGCAGCAGACCGGGGCAAGGGAAAGAGGCCAGCAGCAAACACUACUGCCUCAGGGAGUUCUUCCAAGAAGUCACGAAGCGACUCCGCUGGACUGGCUUUGGAGAGGAUUGCGGACAUCCGAGAGCAGAGCUACCAGAGUCGUGUUGCUCAGAUGGAAGCAGAGAAGUCUAUGGGCCUUGAUGCGUGCAUGGAGUUGGUGGAAAAUGAUGGCCAUGAAAUUGGAGGAAGUGUGUGGUAUGCUGCUUGUGCGCUAUUCCGUGACCCAUUCACCUGCAAAUGCUUUGUUCGAAUCAAGGACGCCGCUAGGCGCUUGGAAUUUAUACGCACUGGUGGUACUGGACAGUCAUCUGGUGGCACCUGGAAAUCGGCGAUGAGUUACGGCGCGGGUGGAUCGAGUUGGAAUGGAGGCGGUCACACAAGCAGCGAAGAAGAAGAUGCCAUCAUUGAGUACAUGGCUGCUACCCUUGAUUUCAAUGAGAGGGCACCAAGGAGAAUACCGGUGCAAACCGGUAUCAGUUGGAUGAUGGACACGAUGGCAAAUCGAAGCCAAUGCAGGGCAAUGUUCAGGCUUACUGCAGAGGAGAUACACAAUUUGCAUGAUCUAUUGGUCACUUCUUUUGGUCUUGUAGGAACAGCAGGGGUCUGUUCCAUGGAAAAGCUUGGUAUUUUCUUGUACACGAUGGGUGGAAAUCGUCCAAUCAGAGACGCGAACAAUCGGUGGGUCCGCUCCAACUCGACAGUGUACCUACUUGUCGACUCCGGAUUUCCUACCAGGAUGGGCUUCCUUGCACCGUACCCACAUGUACGGUACCACAGGGAUCAACUUGCGGUCGAGGGAGCCCCGCCACCCGUAGGACGGGAAGAGACUUUCAACCAUCGACACUCCACGUUGCGAGGGAUCGUGGAAAGACAAUUUGGCAUCGCAAAAAAGAUGUGGAAAAUAUUGAAAGAAAUCCCUUAUUACCGAGAUGAGGACAUCCCUGCACGCAUCAUUCAUGCAGCUUUCGCUCUACACAACUUUAGGUUGGAUAGUAAAGAUCCGACCUAUCGGUUCACUAAUGCUCUCUACAACGGCAAUCCAGUGCCGCUGCUGAACGAUUCAUUCGACCAUAUGUAUUACGCAACAAAUAGCGAGGCCGCUAUGUGCAUGUUGCGUGACUGUAUUGCUGAUGAUGCGUACAAUAACUACCAUUAG